UACAGAGGUCUCAAGCGUUGUUCGGAAUUACUGGGCGUAAAGCGUGCGUAGGCGGCGGGGUAAGUCAGAUGUGAAAGCCCGGGGCUCAACCCCGGAACUGCAUCCGAUACUGCCCCGCUAGAGUAAUGGAGGGGCAUCUGGAAUUCACGGUGUAGCAGUGAAAUGCGUAGAUAUCGUGAGGAACACUAGUGGCGAAGGCGAGAUGCUGGACAUUUACUGACGCUGAGGCACGAAGGCUAGGGUAGCGAAAGGG
Molecule: unclassified non-coding RNA, 253 nt
Filed under: uncultured Verrucomicrobiota bacterium
Lineage: Bacteria; Pseudomonadati; Verrucomicrobiota
Description: uncultured Verrucomicrobia bacterium contains 16S-23S intergenic spacer region
Rfam family: Bacterial small subunit ribosomal RNA
Source: RNAcentral